UCAGUCUUGUCCCAGAACGCACUUCGAUAAGAACCUUUAACUGUGGCUCCAGAGGUUGUACUUGACUUGAGGUUCCGCUGUUUCGAAGUCUAACUCCUCGGAACUUUUCUGACAGUUAGUAAAAUCAAACUCUUGAACUGCAGUACGGGAGGUUUUAGUUUGUUUUAUUUCGUCUUUUGAAAGAAAAGUGACGAAUGAGAAUUCAUGGUCAUGUAAACGAGAAGAAUUGAUGUAAAGAAAGAAAAACAGUGCACUGUACCCGCCAGUUGGAACAUUUGUGUUAAUUAUAGCGUAGAGCGAACUACUAGCUACGAAAAUGCAGUGCCAGGUAUCAGCUGACCAGGUCCUCCUCGGCGCGAUGGCACCCGAUGCCACUGAGACCACGGAGCCAACAGGCCCCAAAUGCGAGUCUGAGAAGAAAUUAGUGGAACUGAAGCUGAAACAUGGAUGGCCAUUCCCUGAUAUGACGGACCCUCCGUUGUCCUUCCGAAUUAAAAGCAGCUUCAUAAUUCCCAUGGUCGGGACUUUCAGCAAAAUUCUUUUGAAAUGGUGUAAUAAGGUGAAUGGCCACAACAUUCAACAACUUCGAAACAUGGUAGCAAAUCGGCCUGCAGGCACACCGCUCCUCACAGUAUCAAACCAUUAUUCCUGCCUCGAUGAUCCUGCGCUAUGGGGUUUGUUAAGAUGGCGUGAUCUGUGGAAUGCACGGAGAAUGAGGUGGUCCCCAGCAGCACACGACAUAGCCUUCACACGAAAAAUAUACAGCUGGUUCUUCAGUGCUGGGAAAUGUGUGCCAAUUAUUCGAGGCCUGGGAGUGUACCAGGAGGCAAUGGACUUCCUGAUUGAACGUCUGAAGGAGGGCCAGUGGGUACAUAUAUUCCCUGAGGGCAAGGUGAACAUGAGUCUGGAGAGGAUGCGGCUCAAAUGGGGUGUGGGCCGGCUGGUGUACGAGUCACCCGUGUGUCCAAUCGUCCUGCCCUUCUACCACAUCGGUAUGGAUGAAAUUCUGCCCAACCGCAAGCCCUACAUCCCCAGGGUCGGGAAGCUGGUGACAGUGGUGGUCGGAGAACCCAUGGACUUCAAAGACCUAGUGUCGGAGAUGAAGGCAAAGCAGGAGGACCCGACUACGGCGCGGAAGGUGAUCACCGACAGGAUCCAGGAGGAACUGGGAAAGCUGCGAGACCAGGCAGAGGAGCUCCAUGAGAAGAUGAAGAGGGAGAGGAACUUAUAACGCAAGUCCAAAGGCAUAAAUGCAGCAAUUAUCCUAAUCCUUCCACUCGAUAUUUUGUACAUUUUUUUCCUCGGUGGAGAAGUAUCGAAUUGUAAAACUGAUGAAGAAUUCAUUUUGAAUUUUUGUCAUUUUUCAGUAUUGGCCUUAUUAAAUUUUUUUAGAUGAAGUCAAUGGAUAUACAUUUAUAAGUAUUGAUAGUGUUAGCUUUUUUCCACGAAUUUUAAAAAUGUAUGGAGAUAACCUGGAAAACUUUGAAAUUGAUUUUUCUGGAUAUUUAUUAUGUAUAUAGUACUUUUAUUUUGAUUAGAAUGUUUGCAAAUAUUUAAAAAAUUAUAUGUAGUUGCAGGAUUGGAAAAUCUGGUAGUUUUACGCCACAUGAACUGACCUGUAUGUACCAAUUGGCUGAGUGACAUGUAACUUAAAACCUGAAUUUUCCUUUGGUGUUAUAUUGCAAUGGUACAUAAAGAUGAAGUGUUCAAGACUUGCAUAAGGUUUAGCAUGUUGGUGAGUUUGCACAACUACAUUUUAUUUUUUGUUAGUAAGCUAUAUUUCUAUGUAUGUUUAUUGAGUGUGAAGCAGAAUACUGAAUUCAACAUGCCAAAAUGAAGUGUUUUUUCUCUUGCUUCCCAUUGAUGAUAAUGUCAUAGCUUUAUGUGUUGAUGUUGAUGAAGAUGAUUUAUUUAUUUUUUUAUUUUUUCUCUUUUUUUAUCUCUCUCUUUUUAAUUUUUUCAGAGAUACUGGUGCAAAAAGUGUUCAUGUUAAAUGCAGGUUUUUGCAUUUGUCCUAAUAGAUGUGUGCUCACUACAAAACUUUCCAAUUUUGUGAACAAAACUUCCAUAAAGAUUGGGGUCUGUGAGGUAUCAGUGCAUCAUGUUCAGGAGAAGCAGACAAGAAUCUUGUUUAUAUUUUAUAUUAUUUAUAUUUUAUCAGUUGUAUUUCACAAAUAUCUCUAAUUAUAUUCCCUUUCCCCCCACUGCAAAUAGGAGAGAUUAGAUAUAUAUAUUGCGGCUUCACACUCUUGCAAAUACUAUGAAAAUUUGAAUGUACACAAACACAAAUUAAAGGAAAAUAUGGCAUAAGGCUGUCUCUGGCAAGUAAAUGAUUAAAUUAAAAAGAUAGUAUCAUGACAAAGCAAACACUGUCAGGUAUUUAUGUAAAUAAAUAUUGCCCCUGAAAAAUUAUGUAUAUGCUGUUACCUGUUAUUUUGCAACUUUCUGAUAGCUGCUCUUAUUGCUUUAUUUUCUAAUUAACUAUUUUUCUAUCACUGUUUCCUAGUUGUCUAGUUUCCCAUUGGUUUAAUUCAAAGGCUUUUCAUAAGCAGGAGUUUUUAGUUCAGGGUUGUUACAAGCCAUCAUUUAUUUUUCUCUUUUUUCCAAAAUGAAUUUACUUGUUUCACAGCUACAUUCUCCAUUCAAAAUGCACAGAGACAAGUAUUAACAAUAGUAAUGCUAAAUGUCUUUGUUUAGUCAAGUACUGUAGAGUACUGCAAGGCAUUACAGAAAAGUGUAGAUUCUGCUCUGUAUUUUUUUGUUCUGUGCAUGUUUCAUCCCUGUAACACCAUUGGGUCAUAUGCUUUGUACCUCAGAUGCUGAAGAUAUCACAUUUUGGUGCAGAGCUCAGAAAUGUGAUUAUUUUUACUUUUUUACCUUUUGAUACUAGAUUGUCAAUAAAUAAAUAUAUACAUAAUCAACUGGACCAAUUAGGAAAUCAUAUAAAAGGGUUAACUUGUAUAGAUGAAGAGAACUAGAGAUGAAACUUAUACCAAAUGUUAGUAAGAAAAAUCAGACUUGCAUUGUUUGUUUGAACAAGGAGAGAAUCUUAACAUGUUUCAAACUGAAUCCCAUUAGAUAUAUGAUAAUCUAUUUUCAAAUCCAGUAAUGUAGAAAAUAUAACAUUCUCUUGAAAAGGAAUCUGAAAUAACAAAUAAUAAAUAUAGUUGUUAGUAUAGCUAGGCCUGCCAUCAUAACCUGUGUAACAAUGUUUUUGAUUAUGUACAAUCUAAACCUCUUUCAGAGUAAUGGGUUAUCUCUGUGUUGACUAGCAAUAUAUGUGUUUAGGGUAGCUGUCAGUGUCAGCUGAACUAAUAUCCUUUGAAACCCUGCAGCAAUUAUUAUUAGUGUGACUAUAUUUGUUACUGGCUUUUUAGUUCUGUAGUUUAUGAGUCGGGCUUACCUUAUACCGGUAAUGUACACCUCUGGUAACGUGGAUGGUAGUUACAGUGUCAGAUAAAAUGAUAUACUUCCUAUUGUUGUAAAAAUAGUACCUUGAAGAUGAGAUGGAAUUAUUAUAGUCAACAUUAUAAUGGUAUAUCAUAGUGCAGCAAAUUUGUUAGAUGAAUUGUAAAUGCAAUAGAUAUUUACUUUACUGGUGAUGUCAGAUUUGUACUAAUGAAUUGUACCUCUUUAUCAGUUACAUAUAAAGUUUUACCCCAGUGAUUUAUUACUAAUUUUAUUUUAUUAUAGAACAAAUAAUAUAGGUUUAUGGCAUCCUAGAGAUUGACAGAAGUAUUAGAAAUGUUUGUAUAUUAAUGGAAUGUUCAAGGCUUUGUUAAACAAUGACCAGUCUUUUACUUCUCUAAGAUUCAAAAUUACAAUCUUUUGUUUCUUUAUAGUAUCUUCUUAUCUCUAAUUCAUUUUGAUAUAUGUUGUGUUUGCUUGAGGAAAUAUUUACUGAACAAGAGAUUAUUUUCAUGACAAUAGAGCAGGGGUUUAUGAUAUGGACUAGUAUGUACAGGCCACUUAUUAUAACUGUAUUUUAUGUUAUGAUGUCCGAUAAAAGAAUCAUACUAAGGAUAUCUUUUGCACAAUGAAUUGAUAUGCAUCUGAAUGCAAAAAUGACAUAGUACAAACUUGGAGGGUGAAGUUUAUUAUUCAGCUAUGACUGGCAUAUCAUUGGAAGGUAGAUGUGUUAAACAAAAUUCCUUGGAAAGUUUGCUACUCUUGUUUGAUUAGUUAGUAAAGGUAUGAAACUAACUUAAUUUGAUAUGGAUUUUCCUUUUCUUGCUGGUGUAUGUAAGAUGUCAGUGUUUGGUUAUCUCUGAAGAAAAGUAUAAAUGACAUGAAGUUGAAUUUCUUUCAUUAAAUUUUUAAAUUAUUUAUUUUUUACUGUAUGUAUUUCAUUUUCACUCCUUAAGAUGUAUUUCAGUGUUGAUAUGCAAUAUAUCUGAAUAAUUUUGCAUAGUGUUGGUAUUAUUUUAGGUAUUAUAAACAGGUAUUUCAUUGAGUGACAAAACUGAAUCCCUAUUUCCUCUAUUUGUUAAUAAAUAUGAAUCCAAUUUUUUAUUUCACUAUUUCAAAUAACUGAGACAGAUCUUUGGAAUACUAUUUUCAUUUUUCUUUCACACUAACAGACACUGAUAUGCUGAAACAUGAGCAAGAAAGAGAAGUCUGAUCAUUGCCCCCUAAUAAAAGUACAGUAAACCUCAAUUUAAUGAACUAAGGAAGAAGGAAAAGGGAUGGAGGGAUGGCAGGACUAAUGUCUGCUUGCAACAUACAAACGGUCAGAGGUGGAAUAGGAAUGAGAGUUGGUUAAAGUUUUCUUAAGGACUGUAGCCAGGUUGAAUUAGUUUAGGUUAGAGGUGGAAUAGGAAUGAGAGUUGGUUAAAGUUUUCUUAAGGACUGUAGCCAGGUUGAAUUAGUUUAGGUUAGAGGUGGAAUAGGAAUGAGAGUUGGUUAAAGUUUUCUUAAGGACUGUAGCCAGGUUGAAUUAGUUUAGGUCAGAGGUGGAAUAGGAAUGAGAGUUGGUUAAAGUUUUCUUAAGGACUGUAGCCAGGUUGAAUUAGUUUAGGUUAGAGGUGGAAUAGGAAUGAGAGUUGGUUAAAGUUUUCUUAAGGACUGUAGCCAGGUUGAAUUAGUUUAGGUUAGAGGUGGAAUAGGAAUGAGAGUUGGUUAAAGUUUUCUUAAGGACUGUAGCCAGGUUGAAUUAGUUUAGGUUAGAGGUGGAAUAGGAAUGAGAGUUGGUUAAAGUUUUCUUAAGGACUGUAGCCAGGUUGAAUUAGUUUAGGUUAGAGGUGGAAUAGGAAUGAGAGUUGGUUAAAGUUUUCUUAAGGACUGUAGCCAGGUUGAAUUAGUUUAGGUUAGAGGUGGAAUAGGAAUGAGAGUUGGUUAAAGUUUUCUUAAGGACUGUAGCCAGGUUGAAUUAGUUUAGGUUAGAGGUGGAAUAGGAAUGAGAGUUGGUUAAAGUUUUCUUAAGGACUGUAGCCAGGUUGAAUUAGUUUAGGUUAGAGGUGGAAUAGGAAUGAGAGUUGGUUAAAGUUUUCUUAAGGACUGUAGCCAGGUUGAAUUAGUUUAGGUUAGAGGUGGAAUAGGAAUGAGAGUUGGUUAAAGUUUUCUUAAGGACUGUAGCCAGGUUGAAUUAGUUUAGGUUAGAGGUGGAAUAGGAAUGAGAGUUGGUUAAAGUUUUCUUAAGGACUGUAGCCAGGUUGAAUUAGUUUAGGUUAGAGGUGGAAUAGGAAUGAGAGUUGGUUAAAGUUUUCUUAAGGACUGUAGCCAGGUUGAAUUAGUUUAGGUUAGAGGUGGAAUAGGAAUGAGAGUUGGUUAAAGUUUUCUUAAGGACUGUAGCCAGGUUGAAUUAGUUUAGGUUAGAGGUGGAAUAGGAAUGAGAGUUGGUUAAAGUUUUCUUAAGGACUGUAGCCAGGUUGAAUUAGUUUCCUCUCUGAUAAUGCUUCCUAAGUUUGAGUACAUCCAGAGCUGCGAAAAAUGUUAGUAGGAGACCGUGUUAGUAGUCAGAAUAUAUCGGUUAAAUCCAAAAUUUGUUCUUUGAGACAUAAUAUUCAAAAUUAGGAUUAAUGCUAAGUUUUGAAAUAUUAAUAAAUAAUUCUUUGUAAACUAUAUCUUUAAGUUCAUACUUGUAUACAUUCUGUAAAUUUUAUGCCUUGUUAUUUGUAGACAAAAAAAAAUACAUUAUAUAAUUUUGCAUGUUUUACUCAUAAAUCAAUAGAAUUCAUAUAGAAUCUCCAUUUUGUUCCUCUUAAAAAAUACAGCAACUAUAGAUUAAGUUGACCGCAUAGAAGUUGAAUGGUGUGGGUGUGUGCCAUGCUUUACUCUAUUUACUAAUGAAAUAUAAUAAUAGAAGAAGUGUUCUAUUUGUGAGUUGUAUUUAAUUUUUCACAUUUCAGUCUACACAGCUCAUGCAGAAAUAGUUAAUUUUUUAUAUGUAGUCAACAUUUAUAUUGAAAACUAGCAUAUGUUCAGAGUUUAAUCUGGAAAAAGGUAUAAUUUUGCUUAAUGUUGUUGCAAUAUUAAUUUUUUAUCUUAAGUAAACUAUAUAUAUUUUUUUUUUUUAUGAUUGGCAAUUUGUGCAUUAUUUUUUAUUGUAAAAUAUUUGGUCAAAUCAAAAUUACUAUCACUGGAACAUUUGCAAUCAAAUACAUCUAAUUAUUAAUUGAUAUGACUUUGCCAAAAGGAAACCAUUUUUGUUUUAAUUAAUAAUAACAGUACUUUGAUGCAACAGAAAAAAAUAUAAUAAAGUCUGAAAUGAUGAUAAUAAUGGAAAGAUUUUCAAAAGUAGAUAUGAUGAUGCAUUGUAUGAAAAUAAAAUUGUUAAAAUUGUGAUAUGGGUGCUAGCAAACUGUGUAAAAUGCAAAAUUGUUAUCUUAUGAGGUAUUUCCGAAUUUAUGAUAUAUCUGAAAAAAAUCUUCCAGAAUGCCUGUGUAAGGUAAAAAAAAUAUAUUUUGUAAUUAUUAUU
This 6916-nucleotide unclassified non-coding RNA is filed under the name Penaeus chinensis. RNAcentral's name for it is "tafazzin-like, transcript variant X1". Lineage: Eukaryota; Metazoa; Arthropoda; Malacostraca; Decapoda; Penaeidae. The record is from RNAcentral.